This 1294-nucleotide ribosomal RNA is filed under the name Nitrosospira sp. RNAcentral's name for it is "bacterial SSU rRNA". It matches the Rfam family "Bacterial small subunit ribosomal RNA", at positions 67 to 1358 of the family's 1533-position model. Lineage: Bacteria; Pseudomonadati; Pseudomonadota; Betaproteobacteria; Nitrosomonadales; Nitrosomonadaceae. The record is from RNAcentral.
CGGCAGCACGGGGGCAACCCUGGUGGCGAGUGGCGAACGGGUGAGUAAUGCAUCGGAACGUGUCUUCGAGUGGGGGAUAACGCACCGAAAGGUGUGGUAAUACCGCAUAAUCUCUACGGAGAAAAGCAGGGGAUCGACAGACCUUGCGCUUUUGGAGCGGCCGAUGUCUGAUUAGCUAGUUGGUGAGGUAAAGGCUUACCAAGGCGACGAUCAGUAGCUGGUCUGAGAGGACGACCAGCCACACUGGGACUGAGACACGGCCCAGAGUCCUACGGGAGGCAGCAGUGGGGAAUUUUGGACAAUGGGGGAAACCCUGAUCCAGCCAUGCCGCGUGAGUGAAGAAGGCCUUCGGGUUGUAAAGCUCUUUCAGCCGGAACGAAACGGUCACGGCUAAUACCUGUGACUACUGACGGUACCGGAAGAAGAAGCACCGGCUAACUACGUGCCAGCAGCCGCGGUAAUACGUAGGGUGCAAGCGUUAAUCGGAAUUACUGGGCGUAAAGCGUGCGCAGGCGGUUUUGUAAGUCAGAUGUGAAAUCCCCGGGCUUAACCUGGGAACUGCGUUUGAAACUACAAGGCUAGAGUGUGGCAGAGGGGGGUGGAAUUCCACGUGUAGCAGUGAAAUGCGUAGAGAUGUGGAGGAACACCGAUGGCGAAGGCAGCCCCCUGGGUUAACACUGACGCUCAGGCACGAAAGCGUGGGGAGCAAACAGGAUUAGAUACCCUGGUAGUCCACGCCCUAAACGAUGUCAACUAGUUGUCGGGUCUUAACGGACUUGGUAACGCAGCUAACGCGUGAAGUUGACCGCCUGGGGAGUACGGUCGCAAGAUUAAAACUCAAAGGAAUUGACGGGGACCGCACAAGCGGUGGAUUAUGUGGAUUAAUUCGAUGCAACGCGAAAAACCUUACCUACCCUUGACAUGUGCCGAAGCCCGCUGAGAGGUGGGUGUGCCCGAAAGGGAGCGGCAACACAGGUGCUGCAUGGCUGUCGUCAGCUCGUGUCGUGAGAUGUUGGGUUAAGUCCCGCAACGAGCGCAACCCUUGUCAUUAAUUGCCAUCAUUCAGUUGGGCACUUUAAUGAAACUGCCGGUGACAAACCGGAGGAAGGUGGGGAUGACGUCAAGUCCUCAUGGCCCUUAUGGGUAGGGCUUCACACGUAAUACAAUGGCGCGUACAGAGGGUUGCCAACCCGCGAGGGGGAGCUAAUCUCAGAAAGCGCGUCGUAGUCCGGAUCGGAGUCUGCAACUCGACUCCGUGAAGUCGGAAUCGCUAGUAAUCGCGGAUCAGCAUGUC